This is a non-coding RNA of Pasteurellaceae bacterium NI1060, 74 nucleotides long. NCBI's taxonomy places the organism in Bacteria, Pseudomonadati, Pseudomonadota, Gammaproteobacteria, Pasteurellales, Pasteurellaceae. The record is from Rfam.
CGCGGGGUGGAGCAGCUUGGUAGCUCGUCGGGCUCAUAACCCGAAGGCCGUCGGUUCAAAUCCGGCCCCCGCAA